CCGAAGAUUUUUUGGGGGGGUGGCCACUAAAGCCUGCCUCCUGCUUUUCUCCUGUGACCUCAUGAGGUCUUGGAAUGAUUAGGAUCUCUUAGUCACACUCUGGGGAAAUGCGCUGUAAUCUCAUCGUGAGAUGACCGGGGUUUUAAGUGAUUCACUCCAAGAAAGUCCUUGGGGGGUGAGAAGAACGCCUUCUCCGCUCUGUCUGUCACUUCGGCUGAAGCUGAGCAAAGCCCAGAAGAGCCUCUGCUGCUCCCUGGACUCCAGCGUCAGACGCUUGCCAGGGCGGAGCUGGUUAACCUCGAGGAAGUUACUUGAGCUUGACUUCAGGAACUGGGUGGUGGCAGUGAGCUGGGAGGGACGCCGCCGUGGCUGGAGGCCGAUUGGCCCAGGAGCGCGGCCGCAAGCUCCCCUAGUCCAGGAAGCAGCUCGGAGCCGCGGGUGGGCCCGCAGGUGGUCCUGCCCCACCCAGCCCUGCCUCCCAGGGCACCUGGGCCGAGCUCUCCUUUGAAGAACGAGCCCCGCCACCUUCGGGGCGGCCGCGGGGGGAGAGAUGGUCCGUCAAACCGAGGAGGGGGCUGUUCCCAGUGACCUGACAGCAGAGGAGCGCCAGGAGCUGGGGAACAUCCGGCGGAGGAAGCAGGAGCUGCUGGCCGACAUCCAGAGACUGAAGGAUGAGAUAGCAGAAGUCGCUAAUGAAAUUGAAAACCUGGGGUCCACAGAAGAGAGGAAGAACAUGCAGAGGAGCAAACAGGUGGCCAUGGGCAGGAAGAAAUUCAACAUGGAUCCUAAGAAGGGGAUCCAGUUCCUGAUAGAGAACGACCUGCUGAAGAACACGUGUGAGGACAUCGCCCAGUUCCUGUGCAGAGGAGAAGGGCUCAACAAGACGGCCAUCGGCGACUACCUGGGGGAGCGAGAUGAGUUUAACAUCCAGGUUCUCCAUGCGUUUGUGGGGCUCCACGAGUUCACCGAUCUCAACCUCGUCCAGGCCUUACGGCAGUUCCUGUGGAGCUUCCGGCUGCCAGGAGAGGCCCAGAAGAUCGACCGGAUGAUGGAGGCCUUUGCCCAGCGCUACUGUCAGUGCAACAACGGGGUGUUCCAGUCCACAGACACCUGCUACGUCCUCUCCUUUGCCAUCAUCAUGCUGAACACCAGCCUGCACAACCCCAACGUCAAAGACAAGCCCACUGUGGAGAGGUUCAUUGCCAUGAAUCGCGGCAUCAACGACGGGGGGGACCUGCCUGAGGAGCUGCUCCGGAAUCUGUACGAGAGCAUCAAAAACGAACCCUUUAAAAUCCCAGAGGAUGACGGCAAUGACCUCACGCACACCUUCUUCAACCCUGACCGGGAAGGCUGGCUCCUGAAGCUCGGAGGUGGCAGGGUAAAGACCUGGAAAAGACGCUGGUUCAUCCUGACUGACAACUGCCUCUACUACUUUGAAUACACGACGGACAAGGAGCCGCGGGGAAUCAUCCCCCUGGAGAACCUGGGCAUCCGGGAGGUGGAAGACUCCAAAAAACCAGUGAGUGUCUCUGAACUGCUUCGAGCUCUACAUCCCGGACAGCAAGGACCAGGUGAUUAAGGCGUGUAAGACGGAGGCCGACGGGCGCGUGGUGGAGGGGAACCACACGGUGUACCGGAUCUCUGCCCCGAGCCCCGAGGAGAAGGAGGAGUGGAUCAAGUGCAUCAAGGCGGCCAUCAGCAGGGACCCUUUCUACGAGAUGCUCGCCGCGAGGAAGAAGAAGGUCUCCUCCGCGAAGAGGCACUGAGCCUGCGGCAGCCGGUGCCAAGCCGGUGCGCCCGGCGAGGGAGGCCCGGAGCGCGAGGCCCGGCGCAGCCUCCCGCGCCCGCACCCGGGAGCAGCGUCUGAGUGGGAGCCUCUUGCCAGGCGCCGCCCCGCCUCCUGGAGACCAGCUUCGGCUUUUGCUCACUUUUGCGCCUGGGAGAAGGGGAGGGGUUACCACGGGGGAGGCGGGGCCUGACGCCGUCCCGCCGGGUUUUGAGCCUUUCUCUCUAGAAAGAACAGCACUCCUGCCUCCCCACGUCCCCGCUCAGCAGGUCUGAUAGCAGAGCUCGGAGCCGACCGUUUACCUCCAGUUCCCCCCGGGAAGAAGCCCUCACCCCGCCCCGCAAACCUGCGUAUCCGUAUCUCACUCUGUGUUAAGAAGAAAGGUGGAAUGGAAGAGAAGCCACGUACGAUAAAGAUAUAUUUUUGUUUUUUAAAGAAAGAGAAAGUUACCGUCGAGCCGUCCAGAUGCGCCCUGCCUGGCGCUUGGGGAGCUUCUCCCUGGAGAAGAGGCUCCCUGGGCCGCUGCGCUGGGGCCGCCGGGGCCGGGGGAGGCGGGAGCUUGUCUGGGUGAAGGAGGUGCCAGCCGUGGGGCAGGUGGCCGCCAGCGGGGACUCGGGCCGCUGCUCCAGCCGAGGCCUCCCCGCCCAGGCACCCCGGGGGGGCCCCCCUGCUGCUCUUGCCUUUUCCGAGUUCCUGCUUGUUGGGCUUUAAGACAGAAAGGCAGCCUCUUUCCUUGAGCGACACACCUAGUAACCAAAACUGUGAGGAGGUGGCCCCGGCUCCGGGAAGGCCUGUUUCUCACUUGGUUUGUCUUCCUCCCGCCCGCAAACUCCCUUCCUCGUUCUAGAGGAAGGAGGAGGCCUGACCCGAUCCCCUUAGGGCUUCGCCGCUUCUGCCUCCGGUGGUCCGGCCCUCCUCGCCGGCCGCCGUUGGUGUGUGCCGGCCCCUCGGGGCAGCGGGCCUCUGGCUGUGGGCCGGGCGCCGAGCCAGAGGGCGAGCCGGUUGGCCUCCUGGGUGUCGGCCUCGCCCUCCUAACUGGCGUGAAGGAGCCGCGAAGGCCGCUCUCCCGCCGUUCUCUCAGGGACUCUCGGGGCAGCUCCUGCCACCCGCCUGGGCCCGGCGCCAGUCCAGGCAGAGCUGGGCUGGCCGGGCCACCGCGUUGUCCCCCCGUCGCCGGGACCGGGCAGUGCAGCGCGCCGCCUCCCCGGCCCAGGACCCGGCUCCUCCGACGCCUUCAGGGCAGGCUCACAUCUCUGGAAAUAGCUCUGGUGAAGGGGGUGGGGGCUUUCUGCCCGCCCCCCAACUCCCGCAGGUCCUGCCUAGAGCCGCUUCAGGCGUUUCUACGCUGGAGCUCAUGAAGGUGAUGGAAGAGGGUCCAGGCUGGGAACCCCAACUUUCUGGGCAGGAGAACCAGAGUGGUGUGGGCCGAGGUCCAGGUGUUUUGGGGCCGCAGCUGGAGCCCUCUGGCUGGCUGAGUCCCCGGCCCUGGUUCUCACGAAUAUCAGAGAGGCACCUGGAGCAGUAUUCGUCUAUUUAUCAGAGGUGUAAAUAGUCCAUGUAUAGUUUUCCUCCUUUUAGAUUAUUUUGUAUUUGUUUAAAAAAAAGUUUUGUCAAAAUAUAAAGAAAUGACUGAAAGUUGUUGACAGGGUUUUUAAAAAAUUAUAAUUAUUAUUCCAAUUGUUUUUCUGUUUGUUUUUUUGCAUUGUAACGAGCGCCAAGGAACUGCAGCCAAUAAACUCCCAAACUGCCCGAA
RNA transcript from Sus scrofa (pig), 3539 nucleotides. It is a transcript of the gene named cytohesin 1, with no coding region annotated. Lineage: Eukaryota; Metazoa; Chordata; Mammalia; Artiodactyla; Suidae. The record is from RefSeq and is a predicted model, not a curated record.